This is a long non-coding RNA of Cavia porcellus (domestic guinea pig), 679 nucleotides long. RefSeq lists it as uncharacterized. The record is from RefSeq and is a predicted model, not a curated record. The transcript is spliced from 3 exons. Lineage: Eukaryota; Metazoa; Chordata; Mammalia; Rodentia; Caviidae.
GCAGGACGCCUGUGUCUUCCCUUUGCGCCGCUGGUGACAAUAUAAAGCAUUUUUUCUCUGAGCGGGCUCUCAUUCACAGCGUCAAGCAUAAAUAAUAGUGUUACACUAUGUAAAAACACGUACACUUAUAGAGAUGUAGUUUUAUGAUGAGGCUGUGGAGCACCCUUAGAAAACUAACCUUGGGGUUGUAAAAGUACACUACCUCCCCGUCGGGGAAUUGAACCCCGGUCUCCCGCGUGACAGGCGGGGAUACUAACCACUAUACUAACGAGGAGCUGUGUUGGUGCUUCCUCUGGAGGUGCCCUUUCUUGGAAAGAUGGGGUCUCACAAUAUGGUUGAGGCUGGUCUUUGAACUCAGCACGUGGUCCAGCUUGGCCUUAAACUCAGGAGAUCCUCUGCCUCAGUCUCCUGAAUACUGGGAUCAUAAGCAUGUUGCUACCAUGCCUGGCUAAGGACGGACUCAGGGCCUUCAGGAUGCUAAGCAUGGGUUGUACGCUGAACUCCAACCCUCGCCCAUAUGUAUUUUUAUAGAUGAUAUGAUACUGUUUAAUCUAUUGAAAGGGCAAAAGUGUUAGUGGCGACAUAAACAAAUGGUAAUUUCUGAAACAUGUUUUAACAUAUAUUUUUUUCCACUCCAAAAUAUGGCAAAAGCCUCAAGAAAUAAAAACAAAACAAAACA